This 732-nucleotide long non-coding RNA is filed under the name Homo sapiens (human). RNAcentral describes it as "cancer susceptibility 15". Lineage: Eukaryota; Metazoa; Chordata; Mammalia; Primates; Hominidae. The record is from RNAcentral.
AAGAUUCCUCGCCUAAGAUGAGGUUCCUGAGCUUCCAGUAGGCGACUGACUGCCCAAGAGACCCAGGGCUCCGCAAGGAGACGGCGCAGGUGUCGGGGCUCCCCGCAGGCCGGGAAAAAGUGUCCGAACGCCUCGUGGACUGCAGCGGGGGAAAUGUCCCUUAAAAGUGCGACGAAGUGGGGAAGAAGGUGUAAUUACUAUUAUCAGCAUCUAGAAAGCAUCAUGAAUUUGCUGGAGUACUUCCUAGCACUGACCUCCUUCAUUCUGCGUUGUUCUUACUGGAUCUUUCCAUCAGCCAACAAUAUGGAAGUACCAAUACAAGGUCAAAUCAUUCCUGGAUUCAUCUGGAGUUGCUUAAAAGUUAAAUCAUUGGAAUUUUUGAUGAUACCUUUUCUAUAUGGAUUACAAUUUGAUCGCUGGGAAUUCUCCACCUUAAAGAAGACGCAAUUUCACCAUGUUACCCAGGCUGGUCUGGCACUCCUUGGCUCAAGCAAUAGCAGUCUGCCUGCUGCAGCUCUCCAAGUGCUGGGAUUACAGUUACAGGGCUUGACGUUUCUAGGACUAACCAAGGAAGAUGCAGUUGGUUGUGAAUCACUUCUUCCCAUGCUGAAAUGGCAAGUUUAUGACACUAAAGAUGCAGUCCAACAGAGUAGUCACUGUGCUCAGCAUCAGUAUUUUUUUUUGCCUCCAUCAUCUUGCUGAAACAGCAUUGGUGUAAUAAAAAUGAACCUC